Molecule: transfer RNA, 80 nt
Filed under: Madurella mycetomatis
Lineage: Eukaryota; Fungi; Ascomycota; Sordariomycetes; Sordariales
Rfam family: tRNA
About the family: Transfer RNA (tRNA) molecules are approximately 80 nucleotides in length.
Source: Rfam by way of RNAcentral
GCCCGCUUGGCUCAGUGGUAGAGCGUGUCACUAGUAGUCAAAAUAUGACAAGGUCAUCAGUUCGAUUCUGAUAGUGGGCA